Molecule: ribosomal RNA, 298 nt
Organism: Anaerosporobacter mobilis DSM 15930
Lineage: Bacteria; Bacillati; Bacillota; Clostridia; Lachnospirales; Lachnospiraceae
Rfam family: Bacterial large subunit ribosomal RNA
Source: Rfam
AGUUCGGUCCCUAUCCGGCGUAGGCGUAGGAUAUUUGAGAGGAGCUGACCUUAGUACGAGAGGACCGGGUUGGACGAACCUCUGGUGUAUCGGUUGCAUUACCAAGUGCAUGGCCGAGUAGCCAAGUUUGGAAGGGAUAAACGCUGAAGGCAUCUAAGCGUGAAGCCCCCCUCAAGAUAAGAUAUCCCAUAGCACAAGCUAGUAAGACCCCUGAAAGACGAUCAGGUUGAUAGGACAGAGAUGGAAGUGUGGUAACACAUGCAGUUGACUGUUACUAAUAGGUCGAGGGCUUAACCAA